GUUAGCUGCCAUGUGAGUGCUGGGACUCGAACUGUGAUCAUCUGCAAGAGGAGUCAGUGCUUGUAACUGCUGAGCUGUCUUUCCAGCCCCUCCUGUGAAUUCUUUAAGUUCUCCUUCUAAGUAGCUGCUGCUUGGUGUCACUCACUUUUUCCCCUCCGGGUUUGGUAAUUUUUGUUAAUAGUCUGCCCCCUGAACGGAAACACUGUGAAGAUGCUUCCCUGUUGCUAUGACUACUGGUGCCCACCAUUGCAGGAGCUCAUAUGGAGGGUGCAUCUCCUUCUGCUGUCAGUCACUGCUGCUGAUGCUCACCACUGUCACUGGCUGGGCCAAGACAAAUGGAAACAUCUCCAGAAAAUGAGUUCUUGAUGAUCAGGCUGGCGACUUCCUCAUGUUGGGAAAGUUGCUUCAGUUCACCUCAUAGCAACUGUAAGCACGGACAAAGUAGUUCUUGUCUGCUGCAGCUGGGUUGGAGGAAUGGGGGAAGUCACAAGGCUUCUCGCCAUAUACAGACUCAACAUUCAAGUUUUCUGUUUUGUACCAAUGACUCAAGAGGUCUGGCCUGGGCCUGCUGAAAAAGAACUGAAUGAUAAAGACUUCAAUCAAUGGAGAGUUCAGAUUUAUCCAUGAACUAACAAGAGUGGCCUUGACUGUUUUCAUGAAGUAACGUGUGGAGCUUCAAAAAAGGCAAAGGGCUGCUGGUUUUCUCUUGAACUAGAAUACUUGAAUGUUGGACUCUAGAUCAGAGAUGACAGAGCUUCCAAAGACAGGUGUCCAGGAAUGCACGUACUCACUGUGAUGUUGCCUUCUGAAAAAUCAAGAAUCCUGGAAACAGAGAGAGCUCAGAGACAAAUGCUCAAGGGAUAAGCUCCCUUCCUUGAAGGAGUAAUCAGAAUUAGAAGGAGCCUCAUUUGGGGGCAUAGUCUUUAUUGGAGUAGUUGAAGAUAAAUGAAUGUAUUUCAUAAGUCAAAUAUUUAUGAUUUGGGGAAGGUAAAUUGGAGCAUGUAUUUUAUGUUGGGACACUUUCAGGGGGUGCAGAGCUGGCAUCUUGAAAUCAUCACGUUAAUAUUUGCAAAGCAAAAUGUUUGAGUGUCUGUACAAAGUUAGACAAUCAGAGAUGUAAGAAAAUUUCUAGUGAGAGUGGGUCAGGUUUUACCCAUAGAUCAAUCAAGCUCCCAACAGGUUUUGCUGCCAGAUGAGUUAUAUAAUGAAGUUUAGUUUUUAGACUUUGGGGAUUUUGAAUUCCAGAUGAAAGAGUCUGUGCAUCUGUAGCAUACCAAUUUGUUAGGCAUGGUGGGAGAAAUUGUUCACUACAGGAACUGAAACUGACUCUAGGAGAUUUUUUUUUUUGAGACAGAGUCUCCCUAUAGUACCAGCUGGCCUGGAACUCACUAUGCAGAACAGGCUGGCUUCUAUCUCACAGAGAUCCACCUACCUUUGCCUCCUGAGUGCUGGAAUUAAAGACGUGCAUCACCACACAUGCUCUAAAAGACUCUCAACCAAGGACCACAUGGAGUGAACCAGCAAAAGAUUCUUUUAACCUGCUUUCCAGGAUUCUGAUUCACAUCAAAAACCCCCGUUUAGAAGAAAUUUCCAAAGAAAAUCAUGAAAUUCCCUUUUCUGUGUAUUUAAGAAAAUGUUGAUUUUUCUUUAGAGUUUUAUGAACAGAUAAAUAUAUCAAUAGGACUUCUGUAUUUCCCAUACACAUAUAUGGCACGUGUGGGUCUCUUCCACUGGACUGUGUGCUCCAGGGAAAUACAGACCUCAUCCUUUUCUCUCAUCCUUGUAUCUGGGGUGUAGGAAGUGCUCAGUAAAGGUUUCCUGAGAAGAAAAACAGUAGCAUGAAUUACAGACUGUAAAGGAGGUGGGCUUUGAGAAGAGGUGUACUGGUGACUACUGUACCACUGAUCACCAGUGAAAAAAAGCAUUUGUGUUAUUUUACUCAUCCGGAGGGUUUAUAGGACAGAUUUACAAAACAUGAUAAAAUAUGCAACGUCAUUUUAAAAUUGUCAAUUGAUUCUCUCAGAAUGCUGCUUUAGGGAGGGAGUAGGCAUGGAUUUGAUCAAAACACGUUAUAUGCAUGUAUGAAAUUCUCAAUAAAGUUUCUGUAAAAGUUAAAGAUAAUUUUAAC
This is a long non-coding RNA of Nannospalax galili (Upper Galilee mountains blind mole rat), 2128 nucleotides long. RefSeq lists it as uncharacterized. NCBI's taxonomy places the organism in Eukaryota, Metazoa, Chordata, Mammalia, Rodentia, Spalacidae. The record is from RefSeq and is a predicted model, not a curated record. The transcript is spliced from 3 exons.